GCGCCUGUAGCUCAAUUGGACAGAGCGUCAGCCUCCGGAGCUGAAGGUUGCAGGUUCGAUCCCUGCCAGGCGCACCA
This 77-nucleotide transfer RNA is filed under the name Kiritimatiellia bacterium. RNAcentral describes it as "Kiritimatiellae bacterium (marine metagenome) tRNA-Arg". It matches the Rfam family "tRNA". Rfam says of the family: Transfer RNA (tRNA) molecules are approximately 80 nucleotides in length. The record is from RNAcentral. Lineage: Bacteria; Pseudomonadati; Kiritimatiellota; Kiritimatiellia.